CCCUGCGUGUUGACGUCUGGUCAGUUUGGAUGUUUGGGCGCGUACAGCUAACUGGCUAGUUCGGGGAGCUAACAAAACGGAGUUCGUGACUAAAAAAUAUGCCCUUUGCAUCAGAGAUCCUCAGGUAGAGACUAACAGUCAUUCUGAUAGGGAGGAGAUGGAGCAGUCUAGCAGCAGGUUGUACUCAGGACCUCUGUCCCAGGCGGCUCAGAAGAUUCUGGCUGUUCUGCGAGCCCAGAGCAACCACUCCAACAAUCACAGGCAAAUGGAGAGGUAUUAUGGCAGCCAGAGGGAGCCUUGGGCUCAGAGCAGCAGGAGCAUGAGUCAGGAGAAGAGAAAAGACAGAGACACGGAUCGGCCAUGGUCCAGACCCCAGGUGUCGUCAUUUUCCACCUCUCACCACAGUUCUUCCAACGAGCAGCAGAGCUCUCAGACCUCAGCCUACUAUCAGUACUCGCAGACACUAGACAGCUCCCUUUCAUCCCCGGCCUCCUCCUGCUGGGAUUCCUCGUUCCAAAGGCAAACGUCUCAGAUGGAAGCCUAUUAUCAGCGCUCACAGACUUAUUCCCACAGAAAGUACUCCCAACCCCCUGCUUACCAGUCCAGCCAGGCUCCAUCAUUCACUCAGUGUGAGGCUUCUGAGGUGGCAGCAUGCUACUCCCUUAGAGACAGAUUCACCCUGGCCCUCCAAAUACCUGAGAGACCUUCUGAACAUCAGUGUAGAAACUCCACUGACAAAAUCAGGCCGUCUUUCAUCCUCCGUCUUUCUCCAGACGACGAGAGUCCUGAUGAGAUAUUGUUCCGCACAGUGGAACACCCAAAAGCCCAUAAAAAGGAGCCUGGUUUUGCUUGUCAUCCAGUCUCAUCCUGCCGUAAAAUAAGUGUUGAGACCGAUAACGGCACCAUAGGUGCAGUGAAAGAAAAGAAAGUUACAAAAAGCUGGAAUAUCCUCAGAAAUGAGCUAGAAGACGCUGUAGCUUCAGACAGUCAACUAAAGUGGAAGCGACCUCAGUCUGACCCCGCUGAGGAGGCCAUUAGUGGAGAAGAUGGAGGCGUAUUACAUCAACAAUCAGAGUCUGAAACAAUCAAAACUGGAAGGAUACAUUUACCUCCCAGUGGUUUUGUAACAAGUCAGGAGACACGCUGUGAUGCACAAUCACUCAAACCAAUGAGACAUCUAGAUGUGGAGGAGGAACUGAUAAUGGAUUCAGAAAAUAUGACUCGGGCAGGAACAGAACAAAUGUCAGACAGAGACAAUGCAAUGCACAGUGGAGCAAAUGGAGUCAAGUAUGAAGAGACAGGACAAAUGGAUGCAACCAGUGAGACUCAUUUAGGGAGGGAUCUGGACUUGGCAUGUACAAGUAAUAUGGACAAACAAAGCUUCCAUUGUUAUUCUGAGGGUUCAAAGUCUAAGCAGAAAGAAGAUAAUGACCCGGAGUACAGACUUAAUACACCAGGAGUCAAAGAUGUUGAGCAACCACCUGGCAUUGAGAAUAAAGAGAUAGCAGUGGGAUAUCAUUCCAGCAGUCCAGAAAAUAUCUCAGUAGCUUUAGAAAGGGGAAACAACAAGGUGAACCCCUGCCAAGCUGAGAACCUUCAAGUCAUGGGUCAGACUGAAACAGCAGAGGAGCACCACACAGAGGAGGCACUGGUGCAGGUGCAGUGUGAGCCCACCACAUUAGUCCUGGGUGAAAACACUGCUAAUAACCUGGACAGACCCACAGUGGAAAGAGAUGUGAUAGAGGGUGGAUCAGAGAUGGAAACAGAGAUUGGGAGAAACGCAGGCAUUCGCACAGGCACUGAGGAUGAGAUGGAGACUGAAGAGCCUCAUUGUUCUGAUGUCCAGCUAAGAGAUGAACAGUGUGAGAUAGAUUAUAGAGAAGCUAAAGAGUUACCUAGAGGAGACACUGAGCCAAAAGAGAGAGGGAUAGAGAGAGACGAGUCAGUGAUGCCACCUGUGAACAGUGAGGAUGAGAGUACACCUACAGAGGACUCAGGGAGAGAGAGGUGUCCCACGCCAACGCUGUCUCAGGAGUGCAAGGCAAGAGGGUCAAUGUUCAAAGUGGCCUGUCUCAGUGGGAACCACCAGCACCGUGACAGUGUGCAAGCUGCUAAUAGAAGCAUCAGUGGGAGCAGCUCAAGGAUAAAACUGGCCCCAGCAGGCACUUUUGCUACUGGACUUAACUCCUCCACAGUCCAGGACUUGGCCUCAUCUGCUAUAAAACCAAACAAAAAGCUGGAAAACUGCAAACUGCCUACUUUCCAGACUCAUUUACGUCAGCCUUCUCCGAUCCCCUCCUUCCCCCUAAAGAGGAAGCAUGAAGCACUUCAGCACCAAAAUGAAAACACUCCUCACAAAGUUUGCCCAACCAGGCAUCCUCCAAAAUGGGAGCCAAGUCAUUCCUCACAAGAAAAGGCAAGAGAAGGAGGAGUCCGUGAGUGGAAAAGAAUCAGGCCCAAAACCCCUGUCUCUGAACACUCAGCUGAACCAACAGAACCACAGACUAAAGCCAGUCAAACUCAACAAAGCUGCAGUAAGAUGGAAGAACGAGGACAUGAAUCUACUAAACAGACCCCAGUCUCUGUUACCUUCAAACCACCCAAGCACAAGCAGGCCAAGCGUGGGCCUGACCGUGACAGAGUUGGGUUAAAAAUAUCCCAUGAACUGUCGAGUGCUGAUGAACCCCAAUCCAGAGCUGGCUACCUGACUGAAACCCUGACAUCUGACUCCAGAGUGAGGGAUUCUGGGAAGCUGAAUAUGGACGAGAAGAUGCAGAUGCUUGAGAAGGCUGGGCGGGCCAAGGCGCUGGUGCUAACCAUGGUGUAUCAGGACGGAACCACUCAGCUAGACCCAGAACAGAAGCUCACUCCACCAGUGUGUGGCCUCCUCGUGCUGAUGAAGAAUGAUCUGGACUGCAGCGUGCCAGAGGACUCUCUCGGGCCAAACGACAGUCUGGUCUACUUAAAACUGGAGCAAACACCUGCAUGGGCCCAACAACACACACAUCAGAGCCAGGAGCUCUUUACUAGGGAUAUGCUGCUACAGGUACUAUCAAAAUCUCAGCUGGUGGUGUGCUAUAAAGCCAAGGAUUUGCUUCGUACAACUCUGCAGUUUUACAAACAAGACCUCAGCUGGAAACAAGUGGCAGGCUGUCAUAUCCAGGACCCACAGGUGUCAGCAUGGCUACUGGAUCCUGCAGAUCCCUCCUCUUCCUACCAGGAUCUCCUCAAAAAACACGGCAAAAGACCCAGUACAGCACCUGCCCUGGGUACCAAGAAGGUUCCUCAGGUCAUCUCAGGACUCACUUCGCUCUACUCGCUUAAUAUGGAGCUAUGCUCUAAACUACAGAGCCAGGGGCUGUGGAAGCUUUAUUCAGACAUGGAGCUGAACAUGAUCCCUGUCCUGGCAGCCAUGGAGAGCCAUUGCAUCCAUGUGGACAAAGAAGCUCUUAAGAGAACUUCAGACCUGCUGGGGACUAAGAUGAAGCAGUUGGAGCAGGAGGCUCACAGAGCAGCAGGGCAAAUAUUCCUGGUCACCAGCAACACUCAGCUACGAACAGUUCUGUUUGAGAAGCUGCGUCUCCACGAGCGCUGUGAGAACAAGAAACUUCCCAAGACCGUCAACAAACAGCAGCAGUCAACAUCCGAAGCUGCAUUGUUGCAGCUCCAGGACCUGCACCCUCUUCCAAAGAUCAUUCUGGAGUACAGACAGGUUCACAAGAUCAAGUCCACUUUUGUCGAUGGAAUUCUCUCAUGCAUGAUGAGCAAGAACUACAUUUCCUCUACAUGGUACCAGACAAGCGUUGUGACUGGGAGAAUCUCGGCGAAACAGCCAAACUUCCAGGCCCUGCCAAGACAGCCGCUUCAACUCACCAAGAAGCAGUACAUCCAGGGGAAGGAAGAGGAGGUGGUGACUGUUCACCCUCGAGCCUUGUUCAUCCCUCAGAAGGGCUGCUCCUUCCUUGCUGCAGACUUCUGCCAGGUGGAGCUGCGUCUGUUGGCCCAUCUCUCCUCCGACCCUGAGCUGCUCCGCAUCUUCACUAACCCCCAGGCCGACGUCUUUACCAUGCUGGCCUCUCAGUGGAAGGGAGUGAGUGAGGGUCAGGUGACCUCUGAGGAUCGGGAACAUGCCAAACGCAUUGUCUACUCUGUUGUGUAUGGAGCAGGUCGUGAGCGUCUGUCAGGGAUCUUGGGGGUGAGUGCCGAUCAGGCCAGGCAAUUCCAGGACAGCUUCCUCCAGACCUACAAAGAAGUCCAGGUCUUCAUCCAGAGGACCAUCCAGCUGUGCCACAAACAAGGUUAUGUGCUCUCCAUCAUGGGCCGUCGGCGGACCCUCCCUCACAUCAACUCUCCAGAUUGGGGCAUCCGCAUGCAGGCUGAGAGACAGGCUGUCAACUUUAUGGUCCAGGGUUCUGCUGCUGAUCUCUGUAAGAUGGCCAUGAUCAGAAUCUUCAACCUGGUCUCCUCCUCCACCUCGCUCUCUGCCAGACUGAUAGCGCAGCUCCAUGAUGAGCUUCUGUAUGAAGUGGAGGACUCCCAGGUGGAGCACUUUGCAGCCUUGGUGAAGCACACCAUGGAGUCCCUGCAGCAUGUAGACCAUCUGGGCGUCCAUCUUAAGGUCCCCUCUCUUUUUCAGCGGAGCGGCCCUUCACUUUGCCUGUUGAACCCGCUAAGAGGGAAUGCGCUCCCCGUGUGCUGAUGUGAGAGAAGCUUUUUCUCAGCAGGAGCAGAGGUCUGAGGGUCCCUCUGAAGACUCCGGUUGUCAAGGGCAACAGCAUGAGCUUCCCCUCGCUGCCAUGACAACCAUGAGAUGUGUAAGUAGACCCUGCGGCACAUAUCCUUGCGGCUAUGAUUUCUGACACAUAUGUCACUUGAAAUCUAAUAUUUACCUCUAAUUAUUCGCAGUGUGCAUCAUUUCCCUUCUCAACUCUCUCCCAGUAAAAUAAAUAAAUGAAUAAAAAUCAGUUUACAGUUGCAACAUAUAAAAGCUUAAUGCAUCAUCAUUUUUAAUUGAUACAAUAUAUGUACAUCCAUGUUUCAAUCAUCGUCAUAAUGCAAGAAAUCCCAUCUUUACAUCUAUACAGUGUUCCAGUUGUUGUCAGUAUAAAAGAAAGCGUUAAUAAUCACAAUAAUAAUAGUAAUCCCAGUGUGGUAAUACAGCAGUCUUCCAAAGGAAUGGCAGAAAGGGAACUGAAAGCUAAUAGACCCCAAUAAAAACCAGGUUGUCACUGCAGUCUCACUGAGGUUGAGGCAGACCGGUUGAACCAGCAUCUACACUAUGUUAUGGUCUUUCUCUGACCUGCUUCUUCAUCUCCGUCUCCCUGGGAAUCAGUAAAUCUGCUAAAUCACCGCUCCAUGCCUCUCCUGUGUGCUGUGCAUGAGAAUCUUGGACCAACAUUGUCCCUCUCUAAUUUUGACCCUGCUUUUCACCUCUUCCUGUAACCUCUCUAACCCAGUGGGCCCCAGGCGCUAUUUACUCAUUGCUCCACUUUACGUGCCUAUGGGCCCCCUUUCUCAAAUUCCUCACCCUCGCCAGAGCACCCGUCUUUCCCCUACAGGUCCCACCCCACUCCCCGCCCCCAUGUUACAAAGUUCCCUCAGUUGCAAAUUUAACUCCCUUCCCCCCGUAAGUCCAUCCAUCUCAUCCAUCUAUCCAUCAAUCCCUUCUUCCAUUCCUGCAUCAUGGCUGGUUAGUUGACCUGCCUGCCUCCCCACAGUGUGGCUGCAUAUCAAUCCCCUGCUGUGCUUUGUGCGGGUUGGUUUCCUGGCAACAGACAACAGCCAUGACAGGGCUCCAGGGCAGAGAGAGCCCCCUUUGCCUUGCAGCAGCUUGCUUUAGCCAGAUAGCUCAGUCCAGAGCCACUCAUAUUCAUGACCUUGGCUGGUGUGUGCUAUAAGCUAACAGAGCUGCUGCUGUUGCAGUGUUUUAGGCUCUCUCUGAUGACUUGAGAGUUCAAGCAGACAGGACAAGGACAAGGAAGGCUGUGUCUGAUCCCAUCAGUGUGGGACAGACACCGGGGCUAAGAUGGCGUGUGCUGUCGCCCCUGAAAGUGGCUGCCAUUAGUCUGUAUGGGAUUGUUGUGAGGUAGUACAGAUUAAGACACCUGCACUACUGUAGAAUCUCUUUAUUAGUGUUGUAAAUAUCUUUAAAAUAUAUUUUAUAUAUUUUAAAUCCACAGUUUCUGUUACAAAAGGAGUAAAAAUGACCCCCAGAUGCUAUUUACAGUAAAAUAUACUUUACAACUUUACAGUUACUAACUUGCAGAUUCAAAAAAAGACUUUGAAUCUCACUUGUAAGAAAAGUCAACAUGGUUGAGUGUUGUGAUUCUGGCAGCUGCAGCAUGUUUUUAAUUGAUUAUUUUCAAUCGUACUGACAGAGUGGUGGUAGUGAAGUUUGUCUUAUUGGUACAAGUUAAUCAGAAGUUUUUGUGGUUAAAUAAAAGCCCAGUUAAGAGACUUACAGCAGAUAGCACUUUCAGAGUGUGAUCACGCCAUCUUUUUUUUGUCCUGUCUGCUUGAUCUGCUCAUUCUUUAGCAUCCAUUAUCCCCCUCUUGUCAUUUUCCCCAUUUCCUAUUGACAUCUGUACAAAUAUGCAGAGGUACACCUGUGUACUUCAACUUUGAGUUUUUAAAAAACACAUCUUUGACACCUCUUUGUAAAGAAAAAUACAAAAAACAGAAACAUUUUACAAUCAAACACCCCUUCAGGCUUCGAUAUGAUGAGUGGUAAUGUUGCAAUGCCAAUACUGCGAUGGCAUCGCUGCCACUAAUUGGUACAGUAUAAGGGAUAUAACAUCAAUGCAGCAUUUCAUGAUUUUAAUAAAAUCCUUGUAUAUAGCGUGUCAUUAUUUUGUGGAUUUGUCGGUUUGUUUGUAUUUAUUGCUUGACUAGAUGGCACGUGGGCAGGAUUUUUUUCCAAAUAAUACCAAAUAAGUAUAGGGCUGUGUUGAACAAAAUAUAGCCACAUGAGGAAUAAAAAUGCAGCAAUUACUGUCACCUUUGGCAAAUUUCCACCUCCAAAAAUAGCCGUGGGUCAUAGUAUGAAUUAUAUAUUAUGGUAUCAUGUCUUGUAUAUAUGCUUAGGAUACAUACAGUCAGUAAUACAGGAGAAAGAGAAACUUUAUCCAUAUUCUUCAUAGGAAAUAUAAAAAAAUCCAAACUACCUGUACUGUAAUAGCAAAACAAGACACAGUUGUGCUACAAGUGCUUAUGUGUUCUUGGCACCUGUGGCCUCAGUCCAGAGUGAGUCCUUCCAUAUUUGCCACAGUGGAGCAAAAUCCUCACCAGAGGUAGAGAGAGAGAGGGAGUCCAUGCUGUGGAGCUCUGAUGCUGGCAGACCUCCUCCCGCCGCCCCACCACAACGCCCCCCCCCCCUUGCAACUGCCAAUGUGGUACAUUCCUCCCUCGCCCCUCGCCCUCCUCGUUAGGUGGAACAUUCCAGACGACAGCCAUCUUCUGAGACAAAAAUGAACUCCAUCGGGGUUGGUUAAAACCAGCAAAAAAUGACAGGUUGCAGUAAAUAAUACAUUUGUAAUAGUAGCGAUACGGAUAUUUACAAUCACACAAAAUUUCUAACAUCUAGUGUAGUGGUUUAAUCAGUUAAUGAAAGAACCAAUAGCUGCUUUUCACCGCUUUCCACUGUUCUUCCUCAUUCAUAAAGUAAAAAAAAAAGCAACCAGAAAAGAUUCAAAACAUAAAAAAUCUUUCUAAGACCUUAAAUGUUGGCAGUUUACAUUCAUGCCUGUGAGUGUUUGCCCCCAAGGCUGUUGAGCAUCAUGGACACACACCAUCAGAGUAACACAACACACCCACAGGAUCUGUACAUUUGUGCAGUUUUGAAUUCUAUGCUCCUUCACCAGCAGAGAAACUGAAUAACAGGUUAAUCAUGACAAAUUUUAGAUAUUUUUACCAAACUGAAUGUGGCCAUAUUAAAAAAAAAAAUGCUGAAGUCAAAGCUUCAGUGGCCUCAGCUUGUGCCUCUGUGUUUGCCAUCAGAGAGAGAGUGUCAGAUGAUCAUUUAUUUGGGUUCUAAAGCACUCUAAACUAGAAGAGCCUUCUCCAGCUGGAGAGGCCUUUAUGCAGCAUACCUUCUCAAACCUCAACCAAUGGGAAAGCACACUCGCACUCAAACAAAUCACAGAAAACCAACUAGAAAAAGUGUGAGAUUGUUUUUGGAUUGUACAUCAGCAGAACAUUUCAGAGGAAUGGUUUGUAACUAAAUGUACACUCUGGUAGAAGUUGCAUACAGUUUAAUUACUACAUUCUAACAUUAAGUAUGCAAUACCAGCUUUAAAUGGGGAGGUGAGACUUCACAGGGUAUAGCAUAGCAUUCACAUGAAGUACAAAACAGACAUAAAUCCAUUAUAGUCAGUGCACUUCAUCUUUACAAUUCAAAAUCACCCUUUAACUACCUUAAGCCAUGCAGUCCACAAGAUAUUUGAACUUGUUUGAUUCCAGUGCAUAAGGCCUUGGCAUAGGCGUUUUUGAAUGUUACCUUUGUUCAGAAUAUGUACCAUGACAGAUAAGAAUUUAUCCCAAAAUACACAAAGGAGCAUUUUUUAAAUUUCAUCAGGCAAAAACUGAGAUUGGCAGCAGCAGAAAUGGCUCAGAGUUGACAGACUUCACAUUCUUCCACAAGAUCCAGACUACAGUUUUUUUUGUUUGUUUGUUUGUUUGUUUUUUUUCUACAGUCCACCUCAGCAAAGCCCACCUCUCACUCUCAACCUUCAGACCUCACCCAAGUCUUAUAAAGAAUGAGUCAUACAGUAAGGACCUAAACCCACUGGCAGCGGUUACUGACAUCAGUCAUUUCAGUCCAGAUUAGUUUCUCAGUAUUUCUGUGAGGAUAUCUGAAGCUUCAGCACCUUCAACUGUGAUUUUACUUUAGGUGAAAUAGAUGGUUUACAGUCUGAUUCUUAUAUUGGAAGUGUUCAUACCCUAGUUUGGCUGUUGUAUCCUAAUUUCCUGCUUAGUUUGAUGGGAAGUUUGGAAGUACUAUAUGAAUGUCAGUGGUAGCUGCUGCUCCAGAAACAUCACAGAAGUACAGUCUGGUCCUCUUCUCACUCUCCAGCAACAACCAAGUUCAAAGCAGAUGCAUCAAAGUAGUGUGAGGCAUCCUCCACAUGUUGGCCCAAUGAAAACAUCUGAUGCUUUUCUUUUUUUAACAAUACUGUUUGAUGCUUUCAGUGCAUUUGUGCCCUGCGUUUACUUUGUAGAACUUCAUAGGGAAAUCAUAGUUGACUAAAAUUAAGACAAAGAACUUGUCAGUAGCUAAACCUCUUCUAGACGUGUCUCAUUUCACAUGGCUUGAACAAAGUGAGGGAAGGGGAAGAAGCCUUAGUACCACUGGACCUGACAUGCAUAGGCAUCUCAGGGGCUUAGUUAAGGUCAACUGUUGUCCCUUAUGAACUGAUUAUGUAUUGUAUGCACAUCCCUAGUUAAAAAAUAAUAAUAAUCCAAAGUUAGAUGCAAAAGAAAGCAGGUGUGUACUUUAUUUUUUUAGGCAUUAAACUGACCAGUGGAGGCUCAGUGUUGGGUUUGAGGACGCUUCUGACUACCUGCAACACCUGGAGCAAAAUCUAAACACAUGUCGCUCACUUCUUGUGUUUCCUUUAUCUGCAUGUGAUGAACUUGGCAGAUGAAAGAUAUGUCACUUGAUUUUGCACUAUAUACUGCGUGGGAAUACAUGUUUUCUUUUGCAUCAUUCAUCAAACGCCCACUUAUGUUUAGUCCUGCAAAGUGUUUGGGAACCUUGCUACAAGCUGGUUUAAUGGAAGAAGAGCUAUGAUACUUUCAGUCACAUGCCCUCACUCCCGCUGUGAUCGAGGAAGAAAACUAACUUUUGUCCUCUAGCCAGUGACGGAUAAAUCUGUAGACAAAUCGAGAGCUGCUUUCAAAUUUAGCAUGGAUUUCAGAACGGGAUGCCCCCUAAAGAUUUACAAGCACUGGCUAGUGGCUGGUAUUAAUUUUACAACCUGGUCUUGAUUACAGAGAAUUAAAAUAAAAAUAAACCAUUAUAAAAAAAUUGCAAGUCUAUGGUUCCACUGUAUGCCAUGUGCUAGGAGUUUCUCCCCUAAAAGUUAUAUUUGCAUUCAAAGACACAUUUCAUGCAAAUGGUACAGUUUUUCUUUUUUUUUCCAAACAAAGAAACACACAUUUCUUUUAUAUGUUCAUCUAAAAAAGAAGCUUAUUUUCUUUUUAUAUAUAUUUAUAUUUAUAUAUAUCGUAUAUAUAUAUAUCAGUUAAUUUUUUUCUACACUUUUCCAGGGCAGGCACCGUACACACACCGGGUACAGAGGCAUGCCACACUUGCAUUGCUUUUUGCAUUCUACAGUUGGUUGGCUGACAGGCACGAUGUCAUCCAGGCAGUGCUGCGGUUGUUUUUUAAAGAGACUGAGGGCUGUUUCCUCGCCUCUGGGAGGAAGCAUCACUUCCUCUGUGCCAGGAUGAUGGAUAACCCAGUUGGCCACUGCAGCGCCUUCUCUGCACCUUCAGCAUAGAUGAGACAAAGAGAAGAAAACGAGGAGGAGGAGGAGGAGGAGCAAUACAGCUGAGGAAACCCCCUCCCCUCUCUAAAGGUCACGUCGCACCACCACUGGUUCCCCUGCCGUGACCUCUGACCCCUCUCUGCGACUGUGCAGCCCCUGCAGGAGUCUGCAACUGGGCUUAAAUCUAAUCAAAGCACCAGGCAAACAGCAGAAUCGUCAGAUGGGUGGAGUCUCUCUUGACUGAUAGAUCAGUUUGUCAGAGUAAGUGCUGCAGUUUCCUUCCCUGUUAUUACCAACACUGAGGCUCCAAAAGGAAGCAUUAUCUCUCCAGCCCCGUUUCCUGUUUACACAGAUGAAUAUGGGACGAACUCAUCUGAUGUGGUCAAUGUUAAAUUUGUUGGUUUGAUUACUGAGAAUGAAACGAAGCAUCAGGGAUGAGUGGAUGAGGUUGUAAACUGCUGUCAUGCUUGUUUUCUUCACCUAAAUGCCAAGAAAAUUAAGGAGAUGAUUUUUGAUUUCAGAGGGGGCAGAAGGACACGCAAACAAGUGGCUAUUAAUGGUGACUGUACCCAAAGUGUAAAUGAAUAGAAAUAUUUAGGGACAGUAACUGAUGAGAAACUGGGAUUCAAACACUUACAGGAAAGAAUCGAAACAAUUAUACUUUUUAUAAGGAAGGUUUAACAGUUUGGAGUGGGCAAUAAGAUUGUAAUAUGUCCGGCAAUAUGUCAGUGAUGUAUCACAUCUUCAUGAAUAUGAGUUGUGUGUCGCUUGCUUUUGUUGCUGUCGCUGCUACUUAGUAAUCAUUAGUGCUGUGCAGUGAAUGGUUUUUAUUUCAUUUCUGUGCCUCCUUCAUCUUCCACGGUGAGAUAUGGAGGGUUAAUGUUUAACAUCACAUGACCUCAGUAUGUCACUGCAAAGCAGCUGAAAUAAGCAGCUGCCUACUGAGGAGAAAAAAGUAACUUAUUUCCCUAAUGUUAACUUGGAUACCAUGUCUGUGAGUUUACUGAUAUUUAGCGCUACUCUUGCUAUGUUUAACUUAUUGUUUGAUAAUAUCCCUGUGCGGUUUGACCAGCUUCAUGUUGAUUUGAGGCUUCAGUUUACUGUGUGGCUAAGGCAGAGCCGGAGACGCAGCUAAAAAGCAAACAGGAGAUUUGUUUGAAUGUUUGUUUGUUGUUUUCUGACACUUUUAGUCCUGAGGAGUAAACACAUAAAGGAACUCAGCAAAAGACCACGCUACCUCAUCUCACACUUGCACCUUGGCGACAGCGAGUGUAAAUAAAGCCAAAUUGUUGAAGAGACCAGUCACACACUUAACAUCUUCCACCCUGCCUCCUAUGACGAGACUGUUGUUUCAUUCAUGGGUAAGCACAGCAGUACAAGUAAACCAAAUUUAAAAUUUACUAGUGCAUUAACUUCACCUGUACCUACAAUAAAUCUAGUUUUCAAUGCUUCAGCUUUACAUGACACUCUGUUAGAGAGGUGAUGUUGGAGUAAUACUGAGGCUAUACCUACAAAUACUUACAAAUUGAUUGUAGAAAAAUUGGUAAUUCAGGUCAAUACAACACCACCACUAAAUAAUGAUUACUCUAGAGCUGAAUGAACGCCUAGAUGACACAGCGUCAACAGAAACUGAGCAGUGUACAUUGACAGGAUUUUUGCAGAGCUGGAUUUUCAUUGUACUGGACUGUGUCAGAUCUGAAGGUGUACCUGUGUGUGACUUUUUAAAUAACUGAAAAACUACAUGUCCUCACCCUCUGACCAUUUUUCCUCAGACAAUAUUUUACUUAGCAAACUGACAAGUACUCAACGAACUAUUAGAUCACAAUGUACUUUGGCAGACUUUAACUCUGCCUGCAGCAUUCGAGAAUAAUACAGCACUCAUAACAAGUAUCAUCUGUAGCAGUGGUGGGAAAAUAGUGGCCCUCCAACAAAAAAUAUUUAGCACUUGACAGAAGCUAUCUAGAGAUGGAAAUGGUGACUGUCUCAGGUGCCUUGGAGCACUGUUUGCUAAUUGACACAAAAUCUGCAUGCAAAACACAUGUAAACAUUUAAUUAGAUGUGCUAUUUGCUGUGAUCCCAGUAUUCAGACUGACUAAAUAUACUUAAGAAAAAUUUAAGAGCAAUUUCCCUUUGCUGCUUUCAGACACAUCAGCCGUCCUCUGUGACCCUCAGGGGCUCAGCUGAAGAGGCGCCAACGGUUGAAAAACAAAUAUGCGAGAAGCAAGGUGGAAAACUAUGGUUUGACAGUCUUAGAAGUCAGCACACUUGUCAUGAUGAGAUUAUGCAAAGGCAGAGGAACACGCUGUGAACGAGCAGUGAAUUGUGAGGAUCCUGCAUUAGCAUGACAUAUUAUUAUAUUUCAAAAGACAAUAUGAAAACAAUAUGACAAUGUUAAAUGGGUCACUCGUAGUGGUGAAACUACAGAGAACUAUUACCUGAAUCUGCAGCUCGCCUCAGCUUUACAGAGCUUUAUAGUGAGUUUCAUCUCGUUGUUCAGCUGUCUGACCCUUCAUCUUUACUGAUUUGCUUCAUUCUCACUGCUCUCAUCAUUUUGGUCACAGCAGGAAUCUGUUCAGAGAAAAAGCUCUGGUGAACUCACUGUUCACUACAUGCUCAGCACCAAACAGCAGACGGACACAGUUAACAACUAUCUGAUGCAUACAGUGGAGCAUUUAGCAGCUAAAGCACCAGAUACUGAUGUUGGGAGUUGAUACAGACCAAUACAGAGCUAAAAGGAGAGUGAGCACAUACAUGACUCUAAAUAAGUCAUAAUGUAAUGUAAUGCUCUGUAACUGCUGCAUGUAUACAUUUUUAUUUUAAAAUACUGCUGCUGUGCCAUCUAUUUAAAAUGCACCCUGCUACUCUGGACACAUAUAUUGAUCCUGCUGCUUUGUGAUGACCACAGAUAUUUAAUAAAGUCAAGGAAAAGGAUCCUACAUUCUACUUUUGUUUGUCAGUGUGAGACAGGUGUUUUAAGAGUUGUGUGGAGCUGGCAACACUGUGAUGCUGAAGGACAUGGAGCUGAGCUCCAGCAGAGUGCUGUGUAGAUGCCAAGAGGUGCAGUUCAGCUCCAGUGGGCUGCAGCCCAAUCUAAACCCUGGGCAUGCAAAUUUUUUUCAUUCCUUUUGACACUUUCUUUCAGUUUUAUGUGGACUCCAUACCCAUAGGUUUAGACCUGAGGUUGAAGCUUUAACCACAACAGUGCAAUAGAUGAUAACAAGCUUGAUGCUUUCACUGAAACACCAAAUACAUUGUGCACCUGAUCAGUAUUCAACAUCAGGGAACAGAAGUUGAAUAAAAUACAAACGUUAGUUGAUGGCAGUUGUCACAGUUUGUGUGUCUGCACUGUAAGUGGUCGCACCUUCUGCCUUGGAGCACUGUUUGCCACAGACUAACAAAUGUCGAAACUUUUCAUUGGAUGAGCUGCACGCUGUUGUCACAAUACAAACACAACUAGGGUACAUAUAUUUGACGUGCAUCAGUCAGAAAAUCAGAAUACUGAUUCCGGUUGAAGGCAUCAGGUUGUCAUCGGUAUUCACACCUGUCAACAACUGCAAACUAAA
Molecule: RNA transcript, 14050 nt
Organism: Lates calcarifer (barramundi perch)
Lineage: Eukaryota; Metazoa; Chordata; Actinopteri; Centropomidae
Gene: poln
Gene name: polymerase (DNA directed) nu
Exons: 32
Source: RefSeq, a predicted model, not a curated record